CUAAAUGCUAAUACUUACCGUCAAGGUAGACCGCGCCGUCGGAAUGGAAGCCGAUGGACGACGCGUACGUUCCGACCAGCGACGGCCGUUGUGGAGCGGCGGACGCGGUGGCGAGGCCGAGCGACAUGACCAAAUGCCUCCGUUUAUCCUGUUCGUCGUCCUUGACGGCUCUGUUUUCUUGGACCGGGUUCUUGGCGGCAGGUGCAAAACUGACGAGCUUGACGCGGUCGCUCUCGCUGGAGCCGUCCCGCCCACGCCUGCUCGCCCUCGACGCGGACCACUCCGGCCGUUUCGUGUUCAGGUAGAUGAUGGUGAUCUCGAAGUAGGCGUCCUGCGGGAACGGCGCGCCGGCGAGGGGCGGGCCCGGCAGCGGAAGGCUCAUCCUGGCGAGGCACAGCGCGUUGGGGUUCCCCGCGUCCGUGUCGCCGCGGAGCGGGCUCGGGUUGCUCCCGGGGAGCCACUUCCUGCUGGACGCGGCGGCGGCCGCCGGGUCGAGCCGCACCGCUUGCAUCCGCUCGGACGAUCCCAUGGGCAGCUCCCACGCUGCCGCCUCCGCCAUGUCGCGGCUCGUCCCGGCGUCGCAGAGCGGGCACGUCCCCCACAGCGGCGACGACGACGCGGACUUGGACUUGGACCGCGGCGGCGCCACCGCGAACACGAACUGCGCCCACCCGUUCUCCGCCGCCUCGGUCACCAGCCGCGGGUGGUCGGCCCACUGGAACGGGCCCUGCUGCGCGCCGCCGCCCGAGCCACGGUGCCUCGCGUCGACGCGGGCGUGGUGCUGGUGCUGGUGCAACUGCUGGAACCGGAGCCCCACGCGGCCGCUGGCGGCGUUGUACCUCAUGUUGAGCUUCGCCAGCCCGGGGCUCGCCGUCGGCUCCGCAACGGCCGUAGGGGAAACUUCUGGCAGCGCCGGCGGCGCAUUACGGGGCAAGCUCCUACGCCGGUACACCAGAAACACGACCGCGAUCAGCGCCGCGAUGGGGAGCCCGACGGCGAGCAGCAGCUUAAGCCACAGCGCCGCCAUACUGCACGCACGUUCCUCCCGCUGUUGCUCACUGAGAAGUAUAGAUGGCCAAAAAGCACGAGGCCCGUGAGCCCGGCACGAAGCCCGCUUUUUGGGCCCGGUCCGAGCCCGGCACGGUAGAAUAAGCGGGCGGGCUUGGACAGGAAACUAGGCACGGCGGGCUAGCCCGGCACGGCCCGUUUACCUCUAAGCCCG
RNAcentral lists this unclassified non-coding RNA (1222 nucleotides) under Zea mays. RNAcentral's name for it is "misc RNA Zm00001eb247130". Lineage: Eukaryota; Viridiplantae; Streptophyta; Magnoliopsida; Poales; Poaceae. The record is from RNAcentral.